This 427-nucleotide ribosomal RNA is filed under the name uncultured bacterium. RNAcentral's name for it is "partial 16S ribosomal RNA". It matches the Rfam family "Bacterial small subunit ribosomal RNA", at positions 355 to 774 of the family's 1533-position model. The record is from RNAcentral.
UGGGGAAUAUUGCACAAUGGGCGCAAGCCUGAUGCAGCCAUGCCGCGUGUAUGAAGAAGGCCUUCGGGUUGUAAAGUACUUUCAGCGGGGAGGAAGGCGAUAAGGUUAAUAACCUUGUCGAUUGACGUUACCCGCAGAAGAAGCACCGGCUAACUCCGUGCCAGCAGCCGCGGUAAUACGGAGGGUGCAAGCGUUAAUCGGAAUUACUGGGCGUAAAGCGCACGCAGGCGGUCUGUCAAGUCGGAUGUGAAAUCCCCGGGCUCAGCCUGGGAACUACAUUCGAAACUGGCAGGCUAGAGUCUUGUAGAGGGGGGUAGAAUUCCAGGUGUAGCGGUGAAAUGCGUAGAGAUCUGGAGGAAUACCGGUGGCGAAGGCGGCCCCCUGGACAAAGACUGACGCUCAGGUGCGAAAGCGUGGGGAGCAAACA